UAGUGUGUGAGCUGAUCAACGGGACUUUUCGUCAGCAGCAUGCAACACGUGUUCGCGAAAAAAAAACGAAAUAGAAAAAACGUCACACGCACACACAAACACAUAGAAACGGAAAUUUCUAAACACUACAAGAGAAAUAAAGGAAAUCCAAACAAUAAACGAACGAAAAGAAAUUACUGCGCAAGUUAGUUACUCAAGUGUGGACAAUACGUAUACGCUUGCCCACGUUCUGGUCAUCUUGUGUCUUGCCCUUGGUGGUGGCGCCACUGCGUUGAUGCAACGCCGUUGCCGUCGCAAUCACAUCCGGCGCCGGUUGUCCCAUGACUCGCAACAGUGGCGUCAACUUUAAGCUGCUGGCAGUUUUGCUGCCACUUUCAGAGGCCUCCUUAUUGCUAUUGCUGCUGCUCUCGACUGCAGGAGGAACAGAGACAGGAAUAGAAGCAGCUGCUGUUGCGGUGGCUGUUGCGGUGGCAACUGCAUUGUUAUUGGCCGGACUUGGACUCGGGCUUUUCUUAUCACAAGCCACAUGAUUUUGGCAAAGAUCUUCAGCAGCAGCAGCUGUUGAGUUUUCGGUGCUGCCACUUGCGUUGUGGGUGCUGCCAACUGCACUUUUUGUGGUGCUGCCAACUGCAGCCGCACCCGCACCUGCACCCGCAUUGUUGCUGCUGUCAUUGGCUGGACGCUGCUCCAGCUUCACAUUGUGCGACAUUAAGGUGGUUAACUGCUCCUGGAAAUAGGGCGUCGGUGUCGUCUUAGUCGAUGUCGUUGUUGUUGUGCUCUCACUCAACGUGCCAGCGGCAAUCGACACAAUGGGCGUAUCCGGUAUUAUCGCUUGGAUCUUUGUCACUAAUGUUGCAAUAUCGUUGUUGUUGUUGUUGCUGUUGCUGUUGCUAGUGCUGCCUGUUGAUUUGACCUUGAUGAGCUGCGCAGUUGUUGCCGCACUGUGAUUGCUGCUGAUGUCCUGAGCUGGUGUUGUCCUGGUGGAUGUUGAUGAUGAUAUAGAUGAAACACCAAUUUGUUCAUUGUUCAUCUUUUGUGGCAUAUAACAAACAACAAAAUGCCAUUCAAAUUACAACGCUUUAAAAACGAAAAAAAAAUAAUAGUGAAAAACAAAUUGAAUAUCUUUCUCUCUCUCUCUUACUUACCAACUACGGCUCCACUUUGUUUGCUUUGCAGAUCCGGAUGUCCUAGGAACAACACAAACAAAAGACAACAACAACAAAAACACAAAAAAAAAAAGACAACAGCUGUCAAGGCCGCCGCGCGGUUUUUACCUCCGCAGCUGCCGCCGCCCAACAGAGGGCGCCUCUGUUGUCCCCACACACUAAGCUCGCUCUUGCUUUGGAUUUGACUUUGGCUCUCUCAACGUUCUUGUUGUUGUUGUUGUCUUCUUCUUUGCGCUCGCCUCCGAGUUGUUGUUGCUGUUCAUGUGUUGAAGCGAAGCUUUGCCCAAAACUGCAGUUUUUGUUGUUGUUGUUGUUGUUGUGUCUGGCGUAAUUUUGGUUGGUUUUUUUUUUGCACUUUUCUACUGUUUAUUUCGCAAUCGUAUAUUGCGGUUUAUUUUUGUUAAUCAAACACACUAAACUCGAAUGAGUUUUUUUUCUUCGCCCACGCACUAUUCUUGUGUUUAAUUGUUGUUGCUGCUGCUCUCGUUGUUGUUGUUGUUGUUGUUUCCUUCUUUUGUUGUUUGUGGUGUUGAGUUUGCUUUUCUCUAUAGUUUUUUGUGUACUGUUCUUUUGCUUUUUCCUUCCUCCUCGUCAAUUGAAUGCAGCCAGCUUAAUUUGCUUUGUCACUAACCAACAACAAAUCCAAAUGGUUCACAUUGCCGAGCUUCUUCCAGUCUACAAUAAUUUAUUGCAAUUGCAAAACGCAAACAACAAGAAUGUAUUGUAAAGCAAAUGCGAAUUGUCGCAAAAACAACAAAAUUAAAGAAAAUUCAUUUUUUUUGCCUUCUGCCAAAGC
Long non-coding RNA from Drosophila sulfurigaster albostrigata, 1962 nucleotides. RefSeq lists it as uncharacterized. The record is from RefSeq and is a predicted model, not a curated record. The transcript is spliced from 2 exons. Lineage: Eukaryota; Metazoa; Arthropoda; Insecta; Diptera; Drosophilidae.